CGGGAAGAGGCACGGAGGAACAAAACCAGUUCCGAGCCGUUCAGCCGAUCGUAUUCGGUCCACGCUGCCGCCACUUCGCGAUCUGCCUAUGCAGCCAUCCGCGCAUUCAGGCAGACGCACGGACGGAUUUUGCGGGUAGAGCUGCAAGCGCCCGUAGCGGCCAAAGCCUGCAAAGCUCCUCUGCGAAGCAGGCGUAGGAGAGAGGCUGCUUCCCGAAGAGCGGAGGAAGGCAGCCCUACGAAAGGCCAGGGGCCGGCUGCGGCUGGCGGCCCCGGCCCGGCCGCGGGGGAGCCCCCCGGGAGCCCCGAGCCCGGCGGGACCGCGGGGCAGGAGCGGGGCCGGGCUCGGCGGCGGGGUCCGCGCCGAGGGCAGCGCAGGGCUCAGCCGCCUCUCGGGCGUGUUCCGGCUCCUUGCGAUUCCACCGGGUCGGCUGGGACUUUGCCUCACUACACCGGGAGUUCCUUGACCGCUAAAGAAAGACGCUGGGGUAUUAACAUACAGUCUGAAUGGCUGCCUGAUCUGUUACAUUUAUCCGUGCCAUCUAAGAACACGAGGCUUGGCUGCGUUAUUUAUGAAGACUGCAGUUUACUGUCGAGAUGCCCUUUUCUGAGCAUCCACAACAUACUGGACUUGAAAAGUAGGAAUGGAUGAUGCAAGUGUGUGUUUGUGUCACAGAGCCUGGCGAAGCAGACUGGAAGGCUCUGUUUCUCUAAACAGUUUCUGAAGCAUCAUUGUGCUAAAUAGACUAAGGAUUUUUAGUGGGUGGAUGUUGCAGGGAUUUGGGGUUGUUUAUGAAAGACACCUAAAUACCAACGUUCUAGUUACAGAUCUGCAUGUUAUUUUAAUUUCAAUAGAUUACAUUGCCCGCAGGCUAAGAUCUCUAGCUACAAUAGGAUAAGGCAAAAAAAAAAUACACAGUGCAUUUUUUUAUAACAAGGUCUUGGAAAACUUCAACCUAUAGCCACAGAACCAUAUUGUCUGGUUGUUGUUGUUUGUUUUUAAUUGCGCACACAGCAUCAUCUGCUGGGUGUUUGAGCUCUUAAUACCAAAGGAACGUACAUUAUACAUGUAUGGUUUAUUAUUGUUCAAAAUACUUUCUAGGUUCAAGAAUACUGUUUGCUGACCAGGCUCAGAUUGUCAGUGAAUGAUUCCAGUAGACUGUAUGUGCUUGUGGUUAUCUUUUGAGUACACAUCCCUUUAUGUACAAAAUACAUACACACAUAUAUGUGUAUGUACAUACAAAUAAAAUGCAAGCUUUUAUAUAUGUAUAUUUGCA
This 1276-nucleotide long non-coding RNA is filed under the name Anas platyrhynchos platyrhynchos (common mallard). RNAcentral's name for it is "lncRNA (ENSAPLG00000024208.1)". Lineage: Eukaryota; Metazoa; Chordata; Aves; Anseriformes; Anatidae. The record is from RNAcentral.